UACGUAGGGUGCGAGCGUUGUCCGGAAUUAUUGGGCGUAAAGAGCUUGUAGGCGGUUUGUCGCGUCUGCUGUGAAAAUCCGGGGCUCAACCCCGGACUUGCAGUGGGUACGGGCAGACUAGAGUGUGGUAGGGGAGACUGGAAUUCCCGGUGUAGCGGUGAAAUGCGCAGAUAUCGGGAGGAACACCCGUAGCGAAGGCGGCACUCUGGGCCGGUACUGACGCUGAGGAGCGAAAGCGUGGGGAGCAAACAGG
This 253-nucleotide ribosomal RNA is filed under the name uncultured bacterium. RNAcentral describes it as "partial 16S ribosomal RNA". It matches the Rfam family "Bacterial small subunit ribosomal RNA", at positions 524 to 776 of the family's 1533-position model. The record is from RNAcentral.